RNAcentral lists this long non-coding RNA (740 nucleotides) under Homo sapiens (human). RNAcentral's name for it is "novel transcript". The record is from RNAcentral. Lineage: Eukaryota; Metazoa; Chordata; Mammalia; Primates; Hominidae.
GGGCAUCUUUUCUGCUGCGACAUGUGUACCCGUCAGCCAACGUGUGAUGAGCUCUCACGUUCAGACCUUGGUCUGUCAGCUGUCACCACUCCCUUAUCUCAUGCUGGAAAGGCACACCAAAAUACAGAACUUUCAGAAAGGCACCAUCGGUCUUGAGCUGGAAGCCCGCCUUUUAGGUUUUGAAGAGAGAAGAGGUGGAGGAGGAUGUGUGCUCCAUGAAGACGUGUUCACAGACUCUAACUUGCUAUGGAGUGGCCAGAGGGCUCGACGAAGAUGCCAACUGCCUUCAGAUGUCUCCAGCUCCUAUCACGGCUGUGUGAAGCUAUAGGCUGUGGUAAAGACCAACCAGGGGAGAACAAGCAAAGGCCAUUUAUUCAGAGGCUGCUGUAUCAGGGGAGUCAGCCACCCACACAUGUCUUAUGGAAAGCUGCUUCUGCCCCAACCCUGUUUUAGCUAGUCUUCAGUUUAAUCUGAUAUCCGGUACCACCUCCUACCCCAUUUCUACCCAUCUUAGGUUCAUUGGCUGGGACGCCUGUGACAAAAGACAGAUUAACAAGAGAAAGGUACACAAAUUUAUUUAAUAUGUGUUAUGUGACACAGGAGCCUUCAAAAGGAAAUGAAGUUCUGAAGAAACAGCUAAACCUGAAUGGUUUUUGUCGUAGAUUUGAGAAGAAUGAAGCAUUGUGGGAAAAUAUGACAAAGUAAAGAAAAAGAAUGAGAGAAAUGUAAUAAAUCGGGGA